This 3918-nucleotide long non-coding RNA is filed under the name Podarcis lilfordi (Lilford's wall lizard). Lineage: Eukaryota; Metazoa; Chordata; Lepidosauria; Squamata; Lacertidae. The record is from RNAcentral.
UGUCAAUGCCUCGACGACCUGCGCUGCUGCCUCUGCCUCCUCUGCUCGAUGACCUGUGCUGUUGCCGCAGCACCUUCUGGCUUCAAACUUCAGACUUCAGUUUCCAGACUUCAGUUAUCAACCUGGUAAGAAACAAAAUAAAAAAAAUCCUUCCAGUAGCUCCUUAGAGACCAACUCAGCUUGUUAUUGGUAUGAGCUUUCGUGUGCAUGCACGCUUCUUCAGAUACAAAGUACAGUGGUACCUCGGGUUAAGUACUUAAUUCGUUCCAGAGGUCUGUUCUUAACCUGAAAUUGUUCUUACCCUGAAGCACCACUUUAGCUAAUGGGGCCUCCUGCUGCUGCCGCGCCGCCGGAGCACGAUUUCUGUUCUCAUCCUGAAGCAAAGUUCUUAACCUGAAGCACUAUUUCUGGGUUAGCGGAGUCUGUAACCUGAGGUACCACUGAAUCAACCUGGUAAGAGUUUUGGAUGUGCAUGUGGCUAACUCCCACAAUCCUCCCUGCGACUUGCACCCACAACACUCCAAUAUUUGCUGAUCAGGGACAUUAUAUGUGCCCUUGAAUGUGGUAUAGAUUUUUAUCCUUGAAAAGGUGGGCAGGGGCAAGAGACUUUUAUUGAUUUGAGAUCUUUCCUUAGCAGUCCCAAUCGUUGGGCAGAAAAUAUUGAAUUGCAAGUAAGCCCUCCUUACAACACAUUUACCUGUGUUAUGUUACAAAAACAGGGCAGAUAUGAUAUAUUGAAAAACAGGGCUUCAAAUGCAGUACUUAAACUACUAUUUAGUUAAGAGUUGUACAGGUCUGUGGAAAUGUAAAGAAACUGAAGGUACAUUCUUUCACCUUUGGUGGACGUGCCCAAGGAUUAAGGUUUUCUGGGAGAUGAUUUAUAAUGAAUUAAAAAGGUAUUCAAAUAUACCUUCUUGAAGAAACCAGAGGCCUUUCUCCUGGGCAUAGUCGGCCAAUCGGUGUUAAAGAAGGACAGAACUUUCUUUAUGUAUGCUACAACAGCAGCAAGAAUACUUAUUGCAAAGCAUUGGAAGACACAAGACCUACCCACACUGGAAGAAUGGCAGAUGAAAAUGAUGGACUACAUGGAACUGGCGGAAAUGACUGGCAGAAUCCGAGACCAGGGAGAAGAGUCGGUGGAAGAAGAUUGGAAGAAAUUUAAAGACUAUUUACAGAAAUAUUGCAAAAUUAAUGAAUGUUAGAAUGAUGUUGGAUUGAAGUUAAGUGGUUUCUAGCUGUAAUGGUAUAAAAGAAUAUGGAAAAAUUGGAUUUUCAAUACGUAAAAACCUAAUGCUAUAAUAUAUUAAGAUUAAAGAUCAGGAUAAAAUAAGGAGGGAAAGGAAUUGCUGAACUAAUAAAUUGAACUGGAAUACAAAAAAGGGAGGCAUGAGGAGGUCCGGGAAACAAGUAAAUGAAAGAUAAGUGAUGAAAAGAUGGAAUUGUUUUUAAUUGUUUUUAUUUGUAUUUUGUAUUUUUCUUUUCUCUAUUUUUCUUUUUCUUAUCUAUGUAACCUUUUUUUGAAACUUUAACAAAUAUCAUUUUUUAAAAAAAGAGUUGUAUAGGUCUGUAGCACUCCUAGGUAUCUUGAUUUCUGUACAAAAAAACCAACCCUUAGUGGCACACAGAACUGGAAGUGUGGUUGUAUCUAGAUCUCUUCAGAGGAAAGCUGUUGUAAAAACAGGGUUGCACUAUGCAAAUUCUGAAAUAAAAGCACUGUGCUGUAGUUUAUUGAUGCUGUGUUGAAGGCAAACAUUGUUGUUUAUCUCUGUUGUUUAUCUUUUAGAUAACAUCAAAUAUUUGUGAGAAAUUGAAGACUAGGAGCGCUUCUUUGCAGAUUGGGUUUGUAAAGAAGGUAUACUGACAACUUAAAGGUAUCUGGCAAAUACUUACACUGAAUGAGCAGGAAUGACAGUUGCAUAUUGGAAGCUUUCUAUUGUGAUUGAUGCAUGCACAUUCUUUAAAGUGACGGAGAAGAUUAUAUGUUAGAAAUAAUACUUACACAAAUAAGCGUUAUUUCUAACAUAAUCCUAACGCUUACACAAAUAAGUGCAUUCAUUUUGAAUGCUCAUUGCAUUCACCACUUGCUUCUGACCUGCUAAUUUCAUUUUCAUUGCUUUUUGCAUAAUUCAUAUAUCACAAUAAUAAUAAAAGUGUAUGUUGCAAAGUGCACUCUGGGACAAUAUUUUGAUGUUGUUUUAGGUGUGGAAAAUCUGCUCUAUAAGCUCUUAUUCCAUUUUUUUGAUUAAAUAUCAUCUAAAAUUUCCACAACUUACUCUAACAAAUGUUGUAUUUUUAAAUAUGUACAAAAUUGAUAUAUUUCAUUGACCCAUUUGAACAAAAAGGUCAUCAGCCACCUUAUUUGUGUAAGUACUGGAUUUAUUUACAAGGUCAAAACAGCCCCACUUGUGAGUGGAAAAUGCUUCUGAUGGGUAGAGGAGAGGGAUUUCCCAUUUUUUUAUUUUCAAUCUCAACUCUUUGUACCUUCUCAGUCCUGCUCGGAAGGGUCCCCUGAACUUCAAGAGCAUUUCCCCCCCAAACCCGGGGAUGAGAGACCUCAGUGCCUGCAUGGAAUAUGAUGCAUGUCUGCAAGGAUCUCAUCCAAAAGGGAUGUGCUGGACAAUUCCUUUUUUGCCAAAAAAGGUCUUCAAACUAAUCUGGCCACUUUUCCUUAGAAAAACAUGUAUUUAGAGAGAAAUGUUGUAUGACCUGAACAUGACCCCAGUUGUAACAAAAUGAAGAUUGACUUAAACUGCCAAAUUCCUUAUUAUAUGUGUUACUCAUUUUUAAAGCUGGUUAAAGUGUUUGGUAUGUUUUCCCAUCUGUUUAAUGUCAUUCCUUAAAAAUAAAUGAGGAAAUGGCUGAUCUAAAUAACAGUCUUUCUUCCAAAUAUAUUAGACUAGUACAAAAACCCACCACAAGGUACCAAAAUCAACAUAUUUUAAUGUGUGCAUCCUUUAUCCAUCUUAAUGUGGUAAGUACAUUUCUUUUAUUUUCAAAUAGAUAAUUUUUUUAGAGUACUCUGUGUUUCACAUGCUGAUGUGUUUUGUUGCUGUGGUUUUGGUCACAUGGCGUUUUGUGCUUUCCAAAGAUUUCUGAGUACUGAUAAGCUACAUUUUAAACCUUUCCAGUUGCAAAUAGGAUCAGUCAGGACCAGUCUCUUGUGUACAAGUAUUUUGGGCCUUGUGGAGUAUGAGCCAUCUAACCUUCAAAUUGGUGGUUUUCAGCCUUUCAAGGAUACUAUUUCCACACUGACAUCUGCUGAGCAAUUGCUUCGCGCUGCUGGAGACUCUGACGUGUUCUGGCGCUCACGCUUAGCAUGCAUUGCUCCUUACCAAUCCUGUUCGAUCCCACCAUCGAGCUGCAGGAAUUGAGGGCCCCUCCCUAGAACACAUGCACACUUUCCUGGAGCUGCACACAGCAGCAGAAAACUGGCAGUGACUGGCAAGCUAUUCUUUGGCAAGCUUGCCUACCUGGAAGAAUUGGUUAACAAACUUCGGAAUACUGUAGCAUCUUUGUUCGCCAAAGUGCAGAGAAUAUGCAGCCUUCAUUCAUUUAGGUCUCCAUACUUAGCUGGUAAUAUCAAUUUACGUUCUGCAGAAGAAGGCUCAUAUGGGAUGCUGUAUAGCUUGGUACUGAAUGUCUCCAGCAGUUGCAUAAAUAGCCUCUAUUUUUUUUUUUUAAUGAUAUUUAUUGAGAAUUUUAAAGUUACAAAGAAAAAAGAAGGAAAAAAUAAGAAAAAGAGAAAAAGAAAGAAAAGAAUAGAUAAAAAUAACAAUUAAACAAUACAAAUCAAUAAAAACCAAAAUCAAAAAGAAAAAACAAAACACACAAUACAACAAUCAAAAAACAAAAAUAUACAACAUAUUUAAAAACAAAUCCAAUUUUCCCAAAUCCUUAACUUUCAUUAACUUAUUUCAU